Molecule: ribosomal RNA, 772 nt
Filed under: uncultured bacterium
Lineage: Bacteria
Description: bacterial SSU rRNA
Rfam family: Bacterial small subunit ribosomal RNA
Source: RNAcentral
AGAGUUUGAUCUGGCUCAGGACGAACGCUGGCGGCGUGCUUAACACAUGCAAGUCGGACGGAAAGGUCUCUUCGGAGACACUCGAGUGGCGAACGGGUGAGUAACACGUGGGCAAUCUGCCCUGCACUUCGGGAUAAGCCUGGGAAACUGGGUCUAAUACCGGAUAGGACCUCAAGACGCAUGUCUUCUGGUGGAAAGCUUUUGCGGUGUGGGAUGGGCCCGCGGCCUAUCAGCUUGUUGGUGGGGUGACGGCCUACCAAGGCGACGACGGGUAGCCGGCCUGAGAGGGUGUCCGGCCACACUGGGACUGAGAUACGGCCCAGACUCCUACGGGAGGCAGCAGUGGGGAAUAUUGCACAAUGGGCGCAAGCCUGAUGCAGCGACGCCGCGUGGGGGAUGACGGCCUUCGGGUUGUAAACCUCUUUCAGCAGGGACGAAGCGCAAGUGACGGUACCUGCAGAAGAAGCACCGGCCAACUACGUGCCAGCAGCCGCGGUAAUACGUAGGGUGCGAGCGUUGUCCGGAAUUACUGGGCGUAAAGAGCUCGUAGGUGGUUUGUCGCGUUGUUCGUGAAAUCUCACGGCUUAACUGUGAGCGUGCGGGCGAUACGGGCAGACUAGAGUACUGCAGGGGAGACUGGAAUUCCUGGUGUAGCGGUGGAAUGCGCAGAUAUCAGGAGGAACACCGGUGGCGAAGGCGGGUCUCUGGGCAGUAACUGACGCUGAGGAGCGAAAGCGUGGGGAGCGAACAGGAUUAGAUACCCCUGUAGUCC